Molecule: long non-coding RNA, 27355 nt
Filed under: Capsicum annuum
Lineage: Eukaryota; Viridiplantae; Streptophyta; Magnoliopsida; Solanales; Solanaceae
Description: long non-coding RNA (CANN_LNC000178)
Source: RNAcentral
CCAGCUUUAGAAGAAGUAGUGCCACUCUUCCGAUCUCCAGAUCCUGGAUAUCUCUUCUGAAAUUAAUUCACCAUCCAUUUUGAUCUCUGAUAUCUGUAAUGGUGACAACUAUCUGCAAUGCUAAGUGAAAGUCCACGAAGUAUUCCAUCAGAGUGCACUUCUCCACCCACAUAUCUAAUCACAAUUUUGUCCUGCUUCACUAAGCCUUCCUAAAUUAUGAAAUUCUCGAUUAUAGCUAUUUAUUUGCCUCCAAAAUGCCACUUCACAGGAGAUUUUCACUUGUUUUAUGGAUCAUCCGGAGUACUAUUUUCCCAUCCAACGUUCUUAGUUGUAAUUCUUCAUGGGAUUUCCAAAAUUGUUUGAUAAGCUGACGUCUUUUUGGUAUUUCAAGUUCUUUAUCCUUGAUGAUGGGAAAAAAGGUUUUUACCUUAUUCUUCGAUGUCUUUUGGAACUUAAAGUGUAGACCAUUUAACCUGAUGUUUCUUUAUCUUCUCACCAUUAUUGUCCCACAAGAAGUCUCCUAUUUGUCCUACCUCAUUAACAUUUGAAACACAAGCAUAGAUGUGUUAGCAUACUAUCCAGCACACUUAUUACUCUCUCCUUUUUAUUUUGUAUAACAGUGUGUGAAUGGGAAUGGAGUGUAGAAAAAGAAAUGACAUUUGAAAUGUAAGCUAGAUACAGGGGAAGAUCUAUUAAGGCCCGUGAUGGUGCCACGCCACCCGCAAACUUCGACGGAAACUCUCUCUCUUUCUCUAGGUUUAUAUAUAUACUAAUAUACUCAAAUAAUAAACAUGCCACACACAAUACCAAAAUAUCAUUUGGUGCAAGUGGUAAAGUGCCACUUUUGUGGUCCAAAGGUCAUGGGUUCGACCUCAGUUGGUAGCAUAUUUUUCUUAAAAAAUUAAUUUUAGUCAAGAAUCAAUUGUUGAUUAAAGCACCAUAAGUUUUACUUAUAUUUUAGAUAUAUGUAGACAGUAUUAAUUAUUAUUUCGACUUUCUUUUAUUUCUCAGGUUGUUAAGAAAUGUAUACUUUUAUUCUCUCUCAUCAAAAUUUUAAAAAACCGUAUCCCUCCCAAUUCCCAAAUCUGCUUUUUGGUUCAUUGCCACUGCUGCUGCCGCCCGCCGGAUUCUUUGUCGUCGCCGGCAAAGGCUCACGGCCUCAACUUCACCGCUUUUCGCAUCCGUUGCUAAUACAAAUAAUCUGGUGAUUUAACCGAUAAGUUUACUUGGCACCCGGACAGUUCGGAUCCUAGAUCCGCCUCUGGCUAGAUAUAUAAAACACAGCAAAAUAGCUUCAAAAAUUGUGCCACUUCAGUUGCCAUGUCAUUCUUAUAAGAUUAUGUUAUUAAGGGCAAAAUGAAUGCUAAUUGUUUUUGUUCAUCAUCAUCCAUUUAUUUCUAUGUUUGAAGCUCCUUAGUUUUUACACUUUUUUUAAAUGAAAAAAAAAGAAGUAAAGAUUACGGAGCUUCAAAUAUAGAAAUUCAUGAACGACGACGCAGAGCUGACAAAGCAAAAUAGCUUUUUUGUAUUUUAUUUUCGAUUUUAUAAAUCAAACUAACGUUUUAAGAAAUAUGAUACAGUUGAAACUUUAUUAUAUUUAUUUACAAAAUUUUAAGAUUAUUGACACCACAGGCAAUACAUGUGUCAAGCAACUAGUUCACUGAUUUAAUGUAACAAUUACGAAAGAAAUAGUUUGUUUCAGUAAUGUUCGUUUGCAACUUAAAAAUAACAAUGUUCUAAUGAAACAGAGCAUAUCAGUAAUAGCACAACUAAACGACAACAACAACAACAAUAAAAAACCCAGUGUAUUCCCACCAAGUGGGGUCUGGGGAGGGUAAAAUGUACGCAGUCCAUACUGCUACCUCCGAAGAAGUAGAGAGUCUGUUUUCGAUAGACCCCUGGCUCAAGAUAAAGAACAGUUAACAAGGUCAUAGUAAUACAUGAAACAGGAUGAGUGGCAUAACCGAAAUAAGAAAUAGUAAAAAUAGAAAUAAGAGAGACACGAAAAUAAGAGCAAUAUGAAAAUAAGAGAUAGGAAAUAAGGAAUACGAAGGGACACCCACUAAACUGGCUACAUAAUUGAGAUUUUUGUACUUUACAUGUUUUUUUGAUUCUUUAUUAUUCAGUGAGUUCUUUUGGUUGCGUGAAGGAGUUUUUUCUUUUCUUUAAUGUUUGAGGCUUGUAGGUCAGAGGCCUUUUAUUGGUACUUUUUGUAGCAAACACUAUCAUACGUAGUAUCACUUGGCUUUCCUGUGUUAGUUGAGCCGGAGAAACAAAGCUGUUGUGAUCUUAAAGUUACAAACAACACAGAUCAGUAUGUUGCAUUCAAGGUAUGCUUUAUCUGAAUUUGUCAAAAUUUCACAGUUGCUUCAUCACAUCUUUAAUGACUAUUACAACUCAUAUCUAGAUAUAUCCUGUUUUAUUUUCAUUGUUAGGUGAAAACUACUUCUCCUAAAAAGUAUUUUGUUCGGCCAAAUACGGGUAUCGUACAUCCCGGGGAUUCAUGUUUUAUACGAGGUGCCACUCUGAUUCUUAAAGUUCUAUUAGAAGCUAAAAUAUUUUAUAUAUUAGUUGGUUUCGAAUGUAAAAGCAGAAUAUUUAUGCUAACAUAUUAUACACAAAAGUUACUUUACGCUAGUUUCACCGUUAGCCAGAAAAUAUAGUUAAGCAGCAUUUAUUCAUAUCAUUGUAAAUUGCAAACGUAUGCGCAUAAUGUUCAAAUAUUCGCUUGGAUCAUUUUACCCCCUUUUGCUGAUUGGACACAAACUUUCGUAGGAUAAAUUUAUCUUGCGGAGUUAUGACUAGGAAUUACUUUAAUGGCUUACAGUUUAUUGUCUCGUGCACAGCACACUUUUCUUUUUUGUUGGAUUGAUAUCAUGGCAGAUACUACCCUUUGAUUGCAAUCUGUGCUGAUCUAUCCUUCAACCUAUGGGUUCACGUGAGCCAAUAGCUUUUACUCAAACCAUGUAUUUAUUUUUAGAAAUCCACUAAAUAUAUAUAAUUACUUGACUAAAAGCCCAAAUAUUAAUGUAUAUUAACUUGAGAUUGUUGUAGGAAGCCAUAAACUUCAAGUCUUGGAUCUGCCAUAAACUUCAAAUCCUGGAUCCACCACUUGAAAUGAUGAUUACAUCCUUCAUAUAUGACAGGAAGUCUAGGAACAGGGAUACUAUAUUAAUCAUAUACUAAAACAAUCUCCCCUGACCCCACUUUUGGGAUUACAGUGGGUUUGUUGUUGUUGUUGUAUAUUUAAAACAAUCCAAUAAAACUGUUAUUCUGUGACAAAUAUUUCAAGAACUUGGCCAUUUGUAAUCUGUGAUAUGUCUUUUUAUUAAGAGGACGUCUAUGCAGUUAGAUAUUCAUUUAGGUGCACCUCAUUGUACUCAAUAUGUUCUUCUUGUGACAUCUCAGUUGUCCAUGCAAUUUGUUGUUCCAUCCUGACAUUGAACAUCCUUUUAUGUUUUUACUUAUCAAGAAAAGAAAGUGAUAUCCUUUUGAUUAGUUGCAUCCUGUAUUGUCUCUAGUCACCCUUCAAGCUCAAAAGGACUACCCCCCGGACAUGCAAUGCAAGGACAAGUUCCUCUUACAGAGCACCAUUGUGAAUAGUGAUGCUGAUGACCUUCCUCCAGAUACUGUAAGAAUUUGAUAGAAUUCCGCAUUAUGAUUGAAGAGAGAAUGUUUGUUAUCUUUUCAUUUUCGCUCAAUGCUAUUGACUACUGUUUGUUAAUCUAGUUUAACAGGGAUAGCGGAAGAAAUGUAGAGGAGUGCAAGCUUAGGGUUGUUUACGCCUCUCCUCACUCAUCCCUGGGACAUUCCGAAAAUGCGUUUAGCCAAAGUUCUGAUGUCAACUCUGUAAGUUCUAAAUUCAGCUUAUAGUCUCAUUCAGAUGUCAAGUCCUUACUUUCUUCUUCCUAAAGUCAUGCUGCUCGAUUUCUUAGGAUAUACUGAUUGGUGACUGAAAUGUUUAUAUGCACAUGAGAUUUUUAAGAGAACUGGUCUUAGGUUUCUCUAAUAAUGUCCAGAGGUUUUGAACAAGUUUUUGUGAUUUAUAACUUGUCAGGCUUUGCUUUUUUUUUCUUCUUUCCCUUUUUCUUUUCCCCUAUUAAGAGCCAGAUGUUGCUAGAUUUCAUAAUGCAAGUAGUCUUUCCACCGGUUUUCUGUGCAUGCUCAUUUUAAAUGUUUGGCUUUUCUUGACAAUGGUUAGGUGCUUUAUGUGAUUGCUUUAGUUUGUGUCUUUGUGAUGGGAGGGUUAAGAGAUUUUCCGGACGAAACUGGUGAAAACAAAAGAAAAUUGAGAGAGGACAAACUACAAUUAUUGUUCUGGCUUUUGAGGAUAAAAUUAUAAUGGAUGAGCAGAUAUGUAUCAUCUUAGCUCGCUUCUCCUUCCUUAAUGGAAAAUUGUGUAUAAUUUUUUUUGCUUGUGACAAUCCUAAGAAGAAAUGGUUAACCAUUAAUAAAUAGAAGAUAUGUGAUAUUUAUUAAUUAUUUCGCUGUUUGGGCUUCAAUGGUAUUUUCCUCCCUUUAGGUAGAACAGCGAUAAAAAGGACUUUGUGGAGCCUUGUUGUGUAAGGUUUACUUGAUAAUUAGGAUGUCAAGGAUGGUCUUUGUGAAAACGUUAUUCUGACCACUUCUUUCCUUGGUGGAGACACUCUUUCUUUUUGCUCCUUAGGAACUACUCAAGGAUAUUGAGACCAUGGAGAUGCUUAUGCAAGACUAAUUCAAUGAAAGGAGCAACUGCUAAGGCUUACAUGUUUAAACAGUAUUUCUAUUGGGGGAAGUUGUCUAAGCCCAUCACUCACUUGAAAAUCAACAUGACAUUUGAUAUUCUCACCCAUCCUCAUAGUCCUUUGUCUAAAUCAUGGGCCGUGUACCAUCUUGGAGUAGUUUUUCAGAGCCACGUUUCCUUGUAUCCCCCCACUAGAUGUCAGAUGAAACUUUGCAAAACAGAUGGUUCUACUUCUCAAUCUUGAAAAAGAGAUAACUGCAUAUAUAUAUAUAUAUUUGGUCAGAUCGUGGACGAAUUAUUCUCAGUUUAAGCUUUCGUUAUUGACAUGACAUAGUGUAUAAAUCUCCAUAGUCGGUAUUAGGGGGAAAGAAAUAUUUUGUGACUUCAGGUUUUAGCUCUAAUCAUAUGGAGGCUUGUGUUGGCCAAUUAAAACUUUUAGUUGACCUUGCGUCAUGUCUGAACAAAAGAUUAAUAUGCCAUCGCCCAUCAUCAUCUUUAAGCUUGUACAUGAGAUUCAAAAUUUUAUCUUUGUCCCAAGUUUGAUAUUGUUGCUAUAUGCUUUCUCUUUGAUGGCAUAGAGUCAGGCACUGCAGCAUGCCAGAGACGAAAGGGAUGCAGUUUUACGACAAACACAGCAGCUGCAACAGGAACUGGUUAGUCUACUUCACAAUUUUCUAUUUAUUUCAUUGUGACAAUUACCUUCAUGUAAGAGUAUGUGCUGGUCCAAAUCAAUACCAUAUAUUAGCGCAUAAAGGAUGCUCAAUAUGCAGAACUAUCUGAUCAGAUGAAUCAUAGUUGAUACACGAAAAGCAGCAGAAGAUGAAUUGCAGUGAUAUAUUUGACUUGCUAUUAGUUCAUUAUAAUCUUGGGUCGUUAUAGACAUCAUCAUAUAAGCCAAAAGACAUGAUAGUUCUGGGAACCAAAAAGAGAAGGAAAUAUUUGAAAUGACGCUUUCGCGUGGGGAGUAGCAGCAACUUGCUUACGCUUACUUGGCUUUAUUUGAAGCAGGCAGGGAUUAUGUAAAAAAUAUUUGAAUGUUGAACUAACAGGCUGUAUAGAAAUUGAACCCUACAUCACCUUAAUCAAGAAAAAUUGCACAAGAAGGAUAUAGCUAUAGAUCGAGAAAAAAUUUCUUGUGUAUCUGGAUGGCAAGACUAGUAUUGGUGAAUGGUGAUAGCUUCAUCUGUCCAUAAAUUUUCUUUGAUUUUAUCAUAUUACAUGCAUCCUUUCGUGUAGUUGGCUACUAUUCUCAUACAUGUUGCCUCACUGACCUACAGGAAAUGCUGAAGAGACGAAGAAAUCGGAGAAGUGAUGCAGGCUUCUCUGUAAAGUUUGCACUUGUGGUGGGACUCAUUGGGUUAAUGGCUGGGUUUCUAUUUAAACUCUUGAUGUCUUCACCUUCUACAGAAUAGCUCAAGUCCCCUCGCUUGUGGAGUUGCGCAAGUUUUUCUUUUAGGUUACUGUAAAAUUUUCUAGUGUUUGUGAACUUGGAGAGCACUGGCUCUGUUCUUUCUGUGUAAAUUGAUCAUUUUUAUGAAACUACUUUGUAAGCGUUCUCACCAUUUUUCAGUUCAUAUAUGUUUUUUUUUUUUUUCUCUUGACAAUUAACUGCUUUUUGCCUGUCACAUUGUGCCACAGUGCCAGAAUUAAAAUUCACUAUAAACCAUAGUGUACGAGAAAUGGCCAUGUUCAAGUAAGUUGUUAGUGGGAGAUGACAGAUAUUUCGUGUAUUUAUGCAACGUAAGUGAAAGUUUGUCCGGACACCACGGUUAAAAAAAAGCGUAGCUAAACAGAAUCAAAACCUCUGCAUCACAGUUCAAGUAGUACUUUAUACAACACGAACAAGAUCAGGAACAUGAUGCAAUAUUUCAUGAAGCUGAGGCAAAACAUCACAAAUUCUAAAUGUCACAAUUUAGAAUGUCCUUAUUUGUAAAAAAUAUUGCAAAUAUUAACAAAAACUACCCUACCAGAAACAUUAAACUCGGUCUAAUGUUUGCUGGCAUGUUUCUCAAUCUUACUGACGAAACAUUAGAUUGUCAUCGAAAAUUUGAAUAACUUACAAACAUUUAGAUCAUAAUCUGACGUCUUCUUAUACGAUUUUCAGUUUGCUCGGUAAAGAUUGUUAAACCAUGUUGUUUAUGUCCAAAUAUUGUAAACAAAUUUUAGGAAAAAUAACUUAAAGUAUACACCAUAACUUACCAUAUUUACACAAAUGUCACCCCUACAAAGUAAUUAAAAAAAUUUCAACUAAUUAUGUAACUUCAUUGGAUGUAUCGGCAAACUAAUUAUUUAUCUCGACAGACCCAAAUUGAAAAAAAUGUAUCGAGAGCCAAUCAUGUUUAUUUACAAAGGAAAAAAUGUAUUUUCGUGUAUUAUGUAUCUUGACAGAUCCAAAAUCAGAAAAAAUAUAUUAGAAAUUCAUUAUGUAUCUUUACAAAGGAAAAAAUGUAUCUUCCUUGGAUGUAUCCGGAGCUAAUAAUGCAUCUAGACAAACCAAAAAUUAAAAUUUCCAGUAAUUAUAUAGAAUAUCAAAAUUUUCUGUGAUUAAACUUUAAAGUCUCGGAAUUUAUGUUGUUUGGCCCCAUGAUUUACCAAACAACUCCUAUCCUAAAAGGGAUAACUUGUGAAAAUUCCUGGAUAUAUUUGUGUAAAUAGGCCGGCCCAAUUAUGUGUUUAAGGCCCAGCCCAUAUUCCUAAUAAGAAAAGAACAAAUUUAAACUCUACUCCUAUUCGACUUUAUCAUUUUUCAAUUUCUGAUAAAAACAAAUUGGCGGGAAUUACAAACCCUACACCAAAUCAUUUUCCCGCUGCCCUCUUUUUCUCUCUCUCUCUCUCUCUCUCUCUCACUCAAAUUCACUCAUCUCACUAAACGCCUUUCUCCAUUUCCAAUUCAUUUCUCUACAAAGCAAAAUCCACAUGCUUUUCUUCACUUUCCAGAUCUGAAAAAUCAAUGGAACUUCAAUUAACUUCACUCUCCACCACCACCGCCAUUUCUGAUAUAAAUAAAGCAUGGCACAUUUUCGCUCUUUUGCUAUCAACAGGAAGACCAGCUCAACUAUCCGAACUUUCAUCUAAAUGCAAUUUAUUCUCCGCUUCGCCGGAAUACAUCGAAUUUCUCUGUUCCAUUCCUAAUUCUCCGAUUCAUUUGACGAGUAAUUACUUUGUUACUUUUUCUAAAAUCGGAUUUAAAUCAACCGUUGAAUUCUUCGCUAAUGCGGAUGUUGAUGUGGUUCGGGGUAGAGGAGAGAAGGAGUGUAUAACGAGGACUUAUUUUAGGAAAAGGAAAAGAGGAGCUGGGUCGGAGGUUGAGUAUCCGCAUUUGGGUAAUAAAAGAGGAUUUUUCAAUAAGUUUGAUGGUAGGAUACGUUAAUUUGAGUAAUUCUUUUUGUUUUUGAUUUUUGUGUUGUGAUUAUGGCGGUUAAAUGGCGUAUUUUGUUUGUUAAAUUCAGGUAAGGAAAGAAGUCAAGUGAUGAUGCCUUUGCCUUCGAUGGCACAGAUGAUUUAUGAACAGGUAAUUUUGAGGUUUUCGUCUUCUAAUUUGACAAGUUGUGAGCCUUGUUGUAGUUUAUUAUGGUGUAUUGUUAGACGAUAUUUAGUCAAAUUAGAGUUAGCGUUAUCUGUCAAAUGAGACUAGGAAUUUGAAAUUGAGCUUGUUAAUAUGCCCAUGAAAAAUGUCAAGUUGCGAGCCUUGUAGUUAGGUAAGGCAUACUAUUUGCUGAUAUUUAGUCAAGGUUUGUAGUGUUAGCAUUAUCAGUCGAAUGCGAUUGGAAAUAUGUAAAUGAGAUUGUUAAUAUGCGGAUAGAGAUUAUCAAUGUUUUCUAACUUGAAUUUGGCGAAAACAUAAGAAGUGCAAAGAGAUUUGUCUGAUAAAUUUGCUUGUAGCAAAUGCAAACUCUAUGUUUACGAUAUCUAGGUUUUGUUUUAGAUCUGAGGUAAUAGAGUUAAGAAUAUAGAGUUAGAAGUUUUGUUCCCAUAUUUCAGGCAUUAAUAGUCAAUUGCAGCUCUUCAUGAAGUUCACAUGCUUCAUAUCAUAAUGAAUCAAUACGAGAAUGGAAAAAUCAGAAACUUCUAUAUAGUAUACGACUUAGAUUACUGGAAUAUGUACCGUCCUAUCUACUUCUGCUAUUGAUAAAUAAUGCCAGUGAAUAAUAUGUAUAUAUAGAAGUGUUUCUUCCCUAAUAGUUUAAGCUUUUGGAUGACAUGUUUUGUACACACCUCAAGGAGGCAGGAUAUUUUUCACAUGCGUAGCCCAGGAGAAGAAUUAAGAUUGUACGAUAGAGGGUGUAGUAUAAUCCUAAAUUCUGUGAUCUCUAAUUGUUUUUACUUUUAAAAGAGAUAGUUUGAAUUGAGAUUGUACGAUAGAGGGUGUAGUAUAAUCCUAAUAUAUAUAUUCAAAAUUCUGUGAUCUCUAAUUGUUUUUACUUUUAAAAGAGAUAGUUUGAAUUGAGAUUGUACGAUAGAGGGUGUAGUAUAAUCCUAAUAUAUAUAUUCAAAAUUCUGUGAUCUCUAAUUGUUUUUACUUUUAAAUGAGAUAGUUCACACAGUUCAUAGGUUAAGGGAUAAUGCAGUGAGAAAAGCCCUCUUAAUUCAUGAUUUCAGAUGGCUAUUGAUGAAAAAUAAGAGGAGAAAUCACAUGAUAAAUUGAUUAGGUGACUGCACUAUUUUCUAAUAGAGCUUUAAUUGGGAUCAAAUAACAUACAUUGAGAUUACCAAUGCUUUUUGGAUAAUAUGGCACAUUAGUCUUCUCUGAAUUUUCUCUCUUAUGCCCUAGACCAAAGGAAAUUAGGAGAUUUUUGAAGGUAAUCUUGCUUUGUCUCUCCAUCUAAAUGAGCGUUAUUCUUAAUUGGCUUUCAUUUGAAUGUAUUGUUUUGUUCCACUCUAUGCUUGAGUUCAAAAUCUUCAUCUUUGUUGACUCUAAUAUUGCUGCUACAGGGAUAUGUUCCCAAAGGCAAUUUGAGUUGUGGCAUAAACCCAUUGACAAGAAUACUAUCGUCAUUGGCUUGUGAUUUCAAUGGAUUUUAUGAAAUGUUCAGAACUUGUUGGAUAAUUGAUGGUAGUGCCAGACCAUCAAGUUCUGGACUCAAGAGCAUUGAGUAUGAAUGCAAAAACAAGACAGAGAGGGGAGAGAACAGCAAUGAAUCAAAUUAUGUACAUAUACCUAUUUGUAAAUCUAAAGUUCCUAGUCAUAGCCUGUUCAGCUCCACUAGAUCGAUGAAAGUUGAAAGUAUCACAGAUUCCAUGCUUCAGUUAAAUCCACACCCCGCCAGUUCAUUGGAAACCACAUUCACCAGUACAGCUUCCGAGAUGGUUGGUAAUACAGAAAAGAAACUAAACUCUUGCAUUAAUUCCUGUACAAUAGUGGACAAAGAAAUGGAAUUUUUGCCAUCUGCAGCUGAUGCUUCUGUCCACGGCUUUGAAAGGAUGAGUCAAAAGGAAAAUUUUGUGGAAGACAGUGAAGAAGAACCCGCUUCUUAUCCUGUUAAUCAUAGAAACGUUAACUGCACUAAAACUCAUCCAACAAAGGCGAACAUAUCACCUCAAGAUGAUUUACUUGAAGAGAAUGCUACCAAGGAAUGCUCGACUUCACUUCUCCACAUAGAUAGAGUGAAAAAAGAUAAGCCUCUGCAGAGCCACGCCAUCUUAGCGCGCACACAAUCUUUUCGUCAGAAGCAGCAGGGAAAACCAGUCCCUAAUUCGACAUCCUUUCAGAGGGAUGAAUCAGAUCACAGGGAGCUGAGGAAUUCCAAGGCACCAAAGAAUCAUAAAACCCCCAGUCUGUUUCUCAACAAAGAGCAACCCAGAACAGAUCCAAAGUUAAUCCUUAUGAAGCUGAAGCACAAACAGAACUAUGACUUGGAUAUGGGGAUUAAUGAGAGGAAGGAAAAUCCAUAUGAACAUGGGGAUAAUUUCGUAUGUAACUCUGCAAAAGUAAGCUCCAAUGCAUCAUUUUAUAUGAAUUGUAUUUGGUUAGUUUACUGCUAUAAAAUCAUGAUGCAAAUCUCAAGGUGCUUGUUUUGUAGAAUCAAUCGGAGCAAAAUCAGUUGCCUAACUUUGAGUCUUAUUUUGUGGAGGAAGCAGAAGGUUCAGGUAUUUACCUUGGACUGGCUUCCAAUCUGUAGCAAUGAUCAUUCCGAAGUUUUUAUCAGUAUAUAUGCCUUUAACAAUCCUGAUGACUAUAUUUGUAGGUGGUUAUGGGACGGUGUACAGGGCAAGGAGAAAGAGUGAUGGAGUGAAGUUUGCAAUUAAAUGUAUGAUAACACAAGCUCGUGUAUUAUAUUAAAUUUAAAUUUCUUUGAUUUGCUAUAUUUGGAUCAUAUGAAUCGGGGAUCCUUUAGCAGUUGAAUGUUGUUUUGUUCAUGCAUAUUGUUGAAUUUGACUGGUUAACUUCCAUGAUAUAUAUGUGGAUAGAUGUAGGUUGAUACUCAUUAACGUUAUUGAGCUAGGUCAAAGGGAGAACAUAUUGAAGUACAUGUUGACAAUGCAUCAAAAGAUUUGAGACAUUCUUCUGUCUUCAUUAUUACUUGGUUCCAUUGUGGCACUGUCUUUUGCUAUUUAGAUAUCUAUAUCAGUUUGAGGCAUUGCAUUAACUCUUGUGAAUUGUUCCCGUGUUGAAAAGUUGCUUCAUUAUCAAACAAAUGGUCAAAUGGAGCAUCUAUGCCCUUUUCGGCGUUUUCUCUGAUACAAAUCCAUGUAUGCUGUAACUGGGGGUCAAAUUUAGUGCUCCUGAGGUGAUCAUUAUAAUCGAUACGUUGAUUGUGCCUUUUGCAGGUCCUCACUCAAAUGCUAACAGAACACAUGUCCAUAAUGAGUUAAAGAUGCUACAGCGUUUUGGGUAAUGAUAUGGGAGAUUGUUUUGAGGAACCAUGGAUACAACAUUAAUUUAUGCAUAUAUUAUAUCUAUAGCUAUAUAUGCACCACGAGAAUUCUUCUAAGACCUUUGCUUUAUGACAGGGGAAAGAACUUUGUAAUUAAGUAUGAAGGAUCAUUCAAGAAUGGAAAUUCUGACUGCCUUGUUCUAGAGCAUGUUGAGCAUGAUAGGCCAGAUGUUGGUUUCUAUUUUUAAUCUUUUGAGUUAUCUAGUUUAAACAUAUUAUAGUCGUUAUUUUAACAUGUUUACUGUCAUGGUUCUUACUCAAGGUCUUGAAAAGAGAGAUGGAUGUUUCCCAGCUGCGGUGGUAUGGCUAUUGCAUGUUCAGGGCACUUGCUGGUUUACAUAAACAGGUAAGAGAGAAAAGAUGCAAACGAACUGAAUGGGUUUCCUGUAAACACAACUUGACUUCUAAUUUUCUUACAUGCAGGGUAUUGUUCAUAGAGACGUUAAACCUGGAAACUUUCUUUUUUCAAGAAAGGUUGAUAAAGGUUACCUUAUCGACUUUAACCUUGCCCUGGUGAGUGGUCUAUCCAACUUCGUAGGCAUUUUCUUCUUGUUAUGUUUUUGAACUUGAACAAUCAAUUGACAUUUUCCUUUAUCCAUUUGCUGCAUAGGAUCUGCACCAAAAAUAUGGAACGUCAGGUACUUCCUCUUCGUGCUGAUUUCCUUCGCUUGAAAGAUGUCUUGUGCUUCCAAGUUCCAUGGCAUCAUGAUCUUAAGUUUCCCUUCAACAGAAGAAUGAGCUUCUUUAAGGAAAAAAUGCAUCAUGUUGAAUAAUGUUUUAACUCCGAAUAAUGUUGAAUAUUUCAAGUUCAAUCUUCCCCACUUUUCUUGUAAUUUAGCAAUUGAAUGUUCACCAAGAACUGCAUAUGUAUAAUUCACAGAUAAGACAAAGUCGAUCCAUACCACGAGCUUUAGUGGUGAUCCUAUUCCUCUUGCCAAGUCUCUUCCUCCAAUAAAACAGAGAAACUCAACUAUUAAACUUGGGGAAGACAUCAACGAGGAAGCAGGAAAAGGCGUAAAGUCUCUAAUAAGACACAAAAACGUUAAAAGGAAGGCUGACCAAGAUAAGGUUGGCAGUGAUAUUGCAUAUAGGAGUAUUAUAAAAAGUAAAUGCGCUGAUGGUUCGGGGAUAACCUCAGCCAAGGAUGCCACAAGCAAUAGGACUCCAUCAGCAGAAAGGUUGAGAGAACCCCUUCCACGUCUUGGUAGGAAGGCGCUGAUUGACAUAGCUGCGGAAGUAGUACAUCAACAUCCAAACAAUGUAGAUACGAAAGGUCCAACUUCCAAGAGAAAGAGGGUUGCUGCAACUCCCGGAAAAGUAGAAAAUAAGUACGUUUGCAUAACUCCAAUGCCAUUGCAUUCAUCUGGAAUUGCCAUUGGUGGUGCUGGUUUACUGAAAGGCAAAGGUCUGUUAUUUUGUGACACUAGUUUUGGUCGGAACUGUGGUUUCAUGUUUUUUCGUUCCUGAACUUUUGCACCGAGUUUAACUUCUUCAUACUGUUUCCAGGGGACAGGAAGCAAAAGCGAGAAGGACCCUGUGUUGGAACUAAGGGUUUCAGAGCUCCAGAGGUUUGUAUAGCAAUUAGCUAAUUUUGUAUCCAUUCCCCUUGUGACAACUUAGCCUGUUGGCUUAUUCAUUCAUGUUGUUUUUUGUUUUAAGUUGAAAUAGGGAAAAGCCAUCUUUACAUCUUCAUCAUGACAUUCAGAAUCCUUUAACACAUAAUAAAAGAAAUCACUGGCAAUUAUCAUCAUAUUUUGCUUAUUCCACUGAUAGAGGACUUUUGAUGGGUGCAUUGACAGGUUCUAUUCAGAUCUACACAUCAAGGUACAAAACUUGAUAUUUGGUCAGCUGGAGUCACUUUACUCUAUUUCAUUAUUGGCCGAACACCAUUUACCGGAGACCCUGACCAGUAAGAAUCUUUUCUGUAUUCAUUGUCAUUGAACAAGAUCAAUGACUCUGGGAAUUUGCUAACCAUUGUAUAUUUCUAAUUAGGAACAUAAAGGAAAUUGUGAAAUUUAAAGGAAGUGAAGACUUGUGGGAAGUGGCCAAACUACACAACCGAGAGUCUUCAUUUCCAGCGGUAUUAAUCGUUCCAAUGUUUUCUUGCACUGUUCUUUUUUCAUUUAUUACUAUUAUUACAUAGUUUUGAAUAGUAAAUUACCAUGGAACAGGAUUUAUUUGACAUGAAAUCUAUGUUACCAAUGAAAUUACGAGAGUGGUGUUCAAGAAACACCCGAAAAUCAGAUUUUCUAGAGAUCAUUCCACAAUCACUUCUCGAUCUUGUGGACAAGUGUUUAACCUCAAAUCCAAGAUUGAGGAUUAGUGCAGAGGAAGCCCUCCGGCAUGAUUUCUUUGCUCCAUGCUAUGAAGCUUUGAGAAAGCAGAGGCUGCAUCGUCAAAGGCUCACCAAUGACCUAGGAUCUACCCUUACUCUACCUGAAAAUUCUGAGUCAUGUGGAGUAUUGUAAACAAAGACAAGCAGCAUUUUGAAGCUUCUUUUCCUUUCUACCUGUUGUCAUGUAAAAAUAGCUAACCAAUGAAAAUGUAAUUCAUUCAACAACUCUUGAAUUUAGUGUAGUCAUAUGUGUACUUUACUGAUGUUGUAUCUAUGAGUCAUUAACAGAAACUCAAGGCUAGUAUUGUGCAUGAACGUUUGACAUCCAGCUAGACCUUUGCUGCCUUAUAACUAGUAAGCAAGUGUUGUCAUUCAAAGAAGUGAAUGAAAGCGUUUUACUUUUACAGGUUUAGAUGAUAAUUGGAAGUGAGAACCAGCAGUUUACUUGCAAGAAGAGGCAGGUAGAUUCUUCACUCUUUUGCUCAUUUUUUUCUUUGAAGAUUCGAGGAAGCUUACUUGGUAUUUAGUACUAUAAUAAUUUUACUCUUAUUUUUUUUUAGACGCUUUUUGAGACUGAAUAGGCGAAUAAUUGUUUUUGAUGACAUGGCAGUCUUCAAUUGGCUGAAAUACGUGGAAACGUCUUGUACCAACUUACGGUCGUUGAGAUAAUUUUUUUAACUUAGCAUACACGUAAUAGGGGGAUCCCUAAUAAGGUGCUAAUACAUUUUCGUUUUCUCUGGCUUUGUCUGGAUCCAUUGACUUACUAAAUUCCGAAAUUGCCCCUGUAUUUAAUGUUUGAAGUACUCUCUUACAAAUUGUCAUUUUCCUCUCUUCAAUGUCAACUCUAUUAAACUUUACUCAUUUAAUAAUUAAGUUAUUUAGCUAAAGUAUACAACAAAGAAUUCUAAAGCCUCAAUGUUGGUUCGUUUUUGCCAAGAGACACUAGUAUUUCAGCCUCUAAGUUGUCAAAAUAUCAAAUAUCUUUUUAUGAAGUCAACAAAUUUAUUUUCACCUAAAAAGAAUCGAUCAACUUAUUACUAAAAUUAUAACAUUACUUGGAUGUAAUUUAUUGAAUUUAUAUAUUUGCUUAAACUUUGUAAACAAAAAAGUAUAACUAUAGUCUAGAUGAAAAAUUAUGGGAUUUUAUUUUCCUAAUGUGCAUGAAAAUUUUCAAUUUCUUAAAAUUAACACAAUUUUGCAUUCAAUUAUCUUAAAAAUAAAUUUGAAGUGUAUAAAAGAUUAAAUCAAAGUAGUGAUAUUGUUAGCCACAUUUCGUGAACUCUUGACUUUAAAUUGAGUGAUUAUCUAUAUUGACAAAGAGGCUAAUUCAAUAUCCGUUGAUUUUGUCAAUUUAGCCUUCGAUAAAGAGGCUAAUUCCCACUUAAUUUGAAAUUUAGUUCUCUUCCACAAAAAUAAAUAAUUAAUAAAUAAAUAAAAUCAAUGUGGGCAUAAAUGUAAAAUGACAAGAAGUAAUGACGCUGGAAUAUUCAUACGUAAUUUCCUGUAAAUUCGAGAAGCAACUAAAAUUACCCUCACAAAUAAGCACUAUAUAAACGCAUCUUCAACGCCUUACAGGUACAAUAUACUUUCGCACUUUGAGAUAAAAAAGUAAAUUCGUUUCGGUCGUUUCACUGUUCCAAAAAAUACUCGAAGAGAAGAAAAUGGAGGGUUUCACGUCGUUCUUCGAAUCGCAAUCGGCUUCUCGCAGUCGCUGGAAUUAUGAUGCUCUCAAAAACUUCCAUCAGAUCUCUCCUCGUGUUCAAACUCAUCUCAAACAGGUCGGUUUCUUUCUUCUUUUUUGUUAAUUUUGUUAUAAAUUUGAGAUAUCUUACCGUAUUAUUCAAUUUUUCUUACUAUUGUGGUCUGUUUUUAGGUAUUAUUCAAUAUUAUUUUGAUUAUUGUGGUCUGUUUUUAGGUAUUAUUCAAUAUUAUUUUGAUUAUUGUGGUCUGUUUUUAGGUAUUAUUCAAUAUUAUUUUGAUUAUUGUGGUCUGUUUUUAGGUAUUAUUCAAUAUUAUUUUGAUUAUUUUGGUUUGUUUUUAGGUUAUCGAAAUUUGGUACUCGUUACAGGUUAUUGUGAUUUUUUUUAGGUUAUUGAAAUUAGAGAGGAAUUACGAUUCGAUUAUUUGCACUAAUUUGAUGGUUGAAUUUUGUGGUUUAUCAAUUUUUGGUUGUUAUUGCGGUUUGUUGUUAGGUUAGUGGAAAUUUGAUUACAGUUUGAUUAUUGUGUUGUUAUUUGCACUAAUUUGAUGGUUGAAUUUUGUGGUUUGUCAAUUUUUGGUUGUUAUUGCGGUUUGUUUUUAGGUUAGUGAAAAUUUGAUUACGGUUUGAUUAUUGUGUUGUUAUUAUUGCACUAAUUUGAUGGUUGAAUUUUGUGGUCUUGUUAGGUUAUUGUAAUUUUUGUCUUUACGGUUCGAUUAUUGUGUUGUUAUAUGAAGUUUGUGGUAUUAUGAGUUUUUUUUUGUAUGUUUAUUGCGGUUUUCUUUUAGGUUAUUUAAGUUUUGAGUGUCCUUACAAUUGGAUUAUUGUUUUUUUAUUUGCACAAUUUUGACGGUUGAAUUUUGGAACCUAACGGGCGAUAAGAAUCAAUUUAUUUCGCUCUAUGGCUAGGUUUCUUAUCAGAAUCUUUGUUAUUCUUUUGAGAACUGCCUUAAUUUUUGUUUUGCUUUCUUUGUGUCAAAGAAGAGCAACUAAAUUGGAACUUUGAUGAAAUAUUUGUGGAAGACCUAAUUAUUACCUUUCCCUUGUUGCCAUUGAAGAGAGAGCAAAUAGAAUUGAAGUCAAGUGUGUAAUUUAUAGAACAGUCAGGCAGGGAUGCGAGAGGAUCAAUUCUUCAUUUCCACAUGGUUAAGUUUGCUAAAAUUUGACAAUAUGUUAAACGUUUCUUUGGUAACUAAUCAAAAGAUAUUGUACAUAAGAAAAGAAAUUAAUCAUUUAGAUUAUUGAAAAGAAUAAAAUUACAUAGGUUAAAAUGACCUAUGUGAUAUUGAAAGGAGAGCAAUCUUGGAUGUGUGUGGGUAGGUUAAAAUGACCUAUGUGAUAUUGAAAGGAGAGCAAUCUUGGAUGUGUGUGGGUAGGUUAAAAUGACCUAUGUGAUAUUGAAAGGAGAGCAAUCUUGGAUGUGUGCGGGGAUAUAUAUCAACAGAACUCGUGUUUAAAUGACAAAAACCAGAUCUUCCUGAACCAGUGUUUUGAUUGAUUAAUUUUGUGAUGUCAUGCUAAAUUAAGAACUCUGUUUUCGCAUUGAAUUGUAUAAAUGUGGCAGAAUUUGAUUUACAUAUUUAUCUUUUUAUUUGUUCAGUUUUUUCUAGUAUAGAGUUUUACUAUGGCUUGUAUUUCUCAUCUGGACCUUGAUUGAUUUCACGGUUACAGGUCUACCUCACACUAUGCUGUGCUUUAGUCGCAUCAGCUGCUGGGGCUUACCUUCACAUUCUUUGGAACAUCGGUGGCUUCCUCACAACACUGGCUUGCAUUGGAAGCAUGGUGUGGCUUCUGGCAACUCCUCCUUAUCAAGAGGUAUGCGCCGACUUUACUGCCCUUAUUAACCUUAGCAGUCACUCAUCUCUUCGUUCUUUGGUUUAUGCAACUUUGUGGUUAGUUGAUUAUUAAAUUGUAACUGAUACUUGAUGUUAUCUUGGUGAGCAGCAAAAAAGGGUGGCACUUCUGAUGGCAGCUGCACUCUUUGAAGGCGCUUCAAUUGGUCCUCUGAUUGAACUGGGCAUCAACUUCGACCCAAGGUAUGUUUCCUUUCAUAUUGUCCUUUUUCGCGCGUUUGAAAAUUGAAAAUGUUGCUCCUGUUUUCUAGUGUGUUAGUUUGUGAUCUUGUUUGUUAAGCUACCCAUGUGAAACCCGGAUUUGCAUGAUCUCAUUUGCUGUUUGGAAUUGUCAGCCUCUGAUUUGGAAGUGGGACAACUUUGUUGUGUGGUCUCUAUGUUUUUGGUACUUCUUUCGAAUUGCAAUAUCUGCUGCAUUCAAAUGCAUCAUUCCCGGUUUGCCCUUUCAUUUGUGUGUUUAAGGGUCAAGAGUUUUUACCUCUCUUAAAGCAUCACAAAUUUUCACCUAAUUUAUUGGGGGGUUGAAGUUUAUACGAGCAAUGGGGAUAAAUGGAAGCUUCAUCCAAUUUCAAGGCUCGUUCAAUCCAUCCUAAUUCAGUUGGUGACAGUCUGAUCCUUUAUUUUAAGUGCUGCAUUAUCCUGAAGGUGUGAAGUGACUUGUAACUGCUUCUCUCCAUAGUAUCAACUUGUAAUAGCCUGUGAAAGUCUGUGUUCUCGCAUGUAUUGCGUCUGUUUGAGUGCAUGAGUCAGCUGAAUUGUGCAAUUCUUACAGUUUAAAACUAAAAGCUUAACAUCCUGGAGAAGAGAGGCUUUUCUGAUACAUAAUUUUCUUCUGUUGCAGCAUUGUGCUUGGUGCUUUUGUAGGUUGUGGUGUGGUUUUUGGUUGCUUCUCAGCUGCUGCCAUGUUGGCAAGGCGCAGGGAGUACUUGUACCUUGGAGGCCUUCUUUCAUCUGGUGUCUCCCUCCUCAUGUGGUUGCACUUUGCAUCCUCCAUUUUUGGUGGUGCCAUGGCCCUUUUCAAGUUUGAGGUAUGUGCAUUCUUUCCUGCGUGCAGCAGUGUCUGACUUUUAGGAUCCUUUAAGUUUGUAAGUUGCUCUAAUAUUUUUCUUCCAUUAAUAACACCACUGCACCUUUUAUUUGGCAGGUGUAUUUUGGUCUCUUGGUGUUUGUGGGCUACAUAGUCUUUGACACCCAAGAAAUCAUUGAGAAGGCUCACUUGGGUGAUAUGGAUUACGUCAAGCAUGCACUCACCCUCUUCACAGAUUUUGUUGCAGUCUUUGUGCGGAUUCUGAUCAUCAUGGUAAGGAGAACUCAGUUGUUGAUGCAUAUAUUAAUUUCCUGCUGGAUAUAAGUGCUUGAUCUUUUUUUUUAUUUUUUGGCCAUUAAAUUGACUGUUGUUUGCCUUUCUUGCAGUUGAAGAAUGCAUCUGAGAAGGAAGAGAAGAAGAAGAAGAGGAGAAACUAGAUUUGUUCUAUAGGCUACUACUGAAACUCAACCUGUGUAAUUUUCGUAACAGUUCUGUUCACCUAAAGCAAGCAUGUUAAUAGUUCGACACUAGUUUUAGCAUAGGUUGUGAUACAUUGUUGUGUGACAAUGCCAUUAUGGCUGCUGAUUGAUCAUGUGUAGCCUUUCUAUCUUUUGAAGCUUCUUAACAUUUGAUAAGAAAGUUGCUUGUGGGAUAUUCAAAGUGGAACUUUAGUUUCUCUUCAAUCUCCGUUCUCUAUUCCUUUGUUCUGCGUUAUCCGAUGCUUGUUUAACCCCAGUCUGGAUUUACUGUUAAUGGUAUCCCGUAAUUUCUGUUACCCGUAUUGAACUUCACUGUAGUUGAGUGAAUGGUAUUUGGAGGGAGAAUAGUCAGAACUCUUUAAUAAAAGAGUUCCAAGACCAUGAAGCCUAACUGGCCACAAGAAAUUUAUCUUAAGAUUUGACGUUUAUAUAUGUAUUUCUCUGUCAUGCGCUUCGUUUUCCAGUUCUACCUCUGGAUUGUCACCUCGACCAGAAGCUGAAAUAAGGGCCUUCUACAAUUUGAAUUGAUGAAAAUGGUCUUAAAUGCUCAAAACGAAAAUAUGAGUGAUUUGUUUUCGCAUAUUUGAGUUUAGUAAUUUAUGUUGAUGAGAGAUCUCAGCUACUCUAAUACCAUAGACAAUAGAAAAAGAACUUUAAACAGGUUUUCAGUGAAUAUGUAAGGAAAGCUGGCCUUAGUUAACAUGUGGUUUGUUCAAAAGAUUAGGUGAAAGCUGGCCUUCCCUACAAUCCAUUUAAUCAUUUUGUUUGCCUAUAACUUUAUUUAAACAUUUUGGCCUUUGUAAUUAUUUAAUCAAUGUGGGCAAACAGAUGAUAGUGGGGAAUUCUUUAACAUAAAAAAAUUAAAAGAGGUCAUGAUAGCAUCCAUUAGGGUCUAUUUAUUAUGGAAAUUGGAAUCAGAAAAUUAGAAAAAAGAAUGAAAUGAGGGCUCUAUACCUGCAGUUUCCGUGUUGCAGUUUUCUUUUUUUUAUUUCUCAAAUCUCAUCAUAGCUUGAAGGGAAGUCUUUACUGCAUAAGGUACGUUACUCGUGAGAAUUAGUUACUACUUCUACAUCUUCCCAGAGUGUAUAUAUCUAUCAUAUUAACGUGAGGGUGAAUUGAUGGAAUAAAUCUUGCCUUAGAUAAUGAUAGUAUGAUGAUUACAAAUCACUAGGCGUAAAUUGUAAUUGAGUGGGAGGUAUGGUGUUUAUCUGUGCAGAUUUAUCAUGUAGUUAAAUACACUAGUUUGGCAAUAUUUUCAUAUUCUGCUUAUAUGUAUUGCACGUACUCCUAAUAUUGGUUGGGUUGCAAAAAUUUAAAAAGAAGGAAAUUGUGGGAAAACGGUAGUAAUAAUUUCCAGUGAAUGAUUUUAAAAAAAAUUAUAGGAUGUAUUGUUCACCCUUAUACUAACUUUGCUAUUGUUAUUAGAUGGUACUGCAACAUUAAUGACUUAGUGUAUAUAUUAGAUAGGUUAUAUUAUUAGUUAAUUGUAACUUAAUGAUGCUUAUAUAGUUAUAUUCUGAGUACCGUUUUCAUGGUUAGUAUUAGGCUUGACCGCCUGUGUCGUGGACCUCAGAUUUUGAGAUUACAUGUUUGAACAGAUUUUGACCGUUCAGAGACGUUACGAAAGGGAAAGUUUGUAAAUUGACGUUUGGCUUCGGUUUGAAGUAAGUUGAGACUUUCCUUAGACUCUUUUUCAACAUGCUUACUUGAAUAUUUGUUAGUUAUGUGUUAUGGGAAUUGGGGGUCCCGUGUAGAUGAUUGUGACGAGCAUCUAUGCGGGUAUCGGUGUUAUUUGAAGGGAUAAAAUCAGUAAAUUGUAUGUUUAAAUUGUUUUCCUUAUUUGUUAACCUGCUGGACUGAUUUAUUAUGGUAACUAUUGAAAAAGUUAGCUAAUGAUGAUACUUGCAUAUCAUGCAUUGCAUUACAAAGUAUAUUAUAUAUAUUUAUGGGGUCGGAGUGCACGCCUGCACAGUACAUUAUAUAUUUGUGGGAUCAAAGUGUACGUCUGCACAGUAUAUUAUAUAUAUUUAUGGGGUCGGAGUGCACGCCUGCACAGUAUAUUAUAUAUAUUUAUGGGAUCGGAGUGCACGCCUGCACAGUAUAUUAUAUAUAUUUAUGGAAUCGGAGUGCACGCCUGCACAAUAUAUACAUUUUGCAUUGCAUCGAAUUAUUUGCUUUAGAAUGGUUAAAGUGGAUUGUGACCUUGUGAUUAUUGUAUAUGUAUUAUUUAUUUUAUCUGAUUGAGGAAUUCUUGGAUUAUGUUAUGAUAUUUUUAUGAUUGUUAAACUGGACUAUUCUGUUUGAUUAAUGUGGUCUUCCUGAUCGCAGGUUGUAUGUUGGUGUUUAAAUGUUUUAUGUGGUGUCACUCGUCACCACUUUAAAUUAGGAUCGGUCGACGAUGCUUGCUCAGUACACGUGGUUUCGUACUCACUCUUACUUUUUCUGCACCCUACGUGUAGGUACAGAUCCGACGACUUCUGAAUAUUGAAUUUUUUGUGGUUCCUUCAUUGCUAGCAUCAUCGGAGAUUCGAGGCAGCUGCUACUAGCUUCAGUGACUACUGAAAUCUCCUUCAGCUUUAUUCUUAUGCAUUUUUCGCAUUUUGAAAGACUCGAAUUUUCUUUUGGCUCUAUAUUUUAGUGGCUUAUAUUAGUGACUUCCAGACCUGGGAUCAUCUACGAAUUGACUUUGCUAGUCUAUUUAUCUAUUUAUGAGAUUAUUCGGGAUUGAAUCUAUUCCUAUUUCUUUCGCUUUUAUGAGUUUGUUAUGUUGUUCUUGAAAUUGGGUUUUUGGCUUACCUAUCACGAAAGGUGGGAUAGGUGCCAUCACGGUCUCGAAUUUUUGGGUUGUGACACCUCAAGACAUCAAAAUGGUUAUUUCGAAUUAGCACAUCAUUUUUUUUAACAAUUAGAAGAAACUCAUUACUAUUUCUCAUAAACAAUCUUAUUUUGAAAUUACUAUUUCUUUUAGGAUGAAUUAACUUACCCACUUCUUCUACAUUGAACGACAACAAUAACUCAUUCGGUAUAUUCCUAACAUUCGAAAAGGGUAAAGUAUAUGCAGUUCAUAUCACUACCUCAGAUGAAGUAGAGAGGUGAUUCCUGAUAAAUCCUUGGUGCAGGACAGAUAACAAUAUGACAAACAAAAAACAUAAAAAUAAACAACAAAAUGAAAUAACACAUCGCUAGAUAAUAAAAGAAACAAAACACCGACAGAGCAAUACUAACUAUCUAAUCGAGAUCACAAACAUCAUCAGAACACUAACAAGAAACUACAAGAAAUUAUAGGCACAAAUAUAAACAAAGCAUUCCUCCUACUAUUACUGACACUCCUACCCUCUAAAUCUCUAUCCUAGUUCGCAUUUUUCAUACCUCCCUAUCAAAGGUUAUGUCCUUUGUAAGCUGCAACCGUUGCAUGUCAUGCCUAGUUACCUCUCUUCAAUAUUUCUUUGACCUAUUUUUACCCCGCUAAAAUCAUCAAUAGCCAGCCUCUUGCACCUCCGUAUUGCAACAUCCAUGCACCUCCUCAUCACAUAGCUGAACCAUCACAACCUCACUUUUCACAUCUUGUCUUUCACCGAAAUCACUCUCACCUUCUCAUGAACAACCUCAUUACUAACUCUAUCUCUCUUAAUAAGUCAGUACACCCACCUCAAAAUCCUCAUUUCCACCACCUUCAACUUUUAGAUGUAGGAGUUUUUAACUGCCCAACACUUCACCUCAUAUAAUAUAGCCAGUUGGACUGUCACUCUGUAGAAUUUACUUUUAAGCUUAGGAGAUACCUUUUUAUCACACAAGAAUUUCGAAGCGAGCCUUCACUUCAACCAUUUUACACCAAUACGAUGUGUGACAUCCUCGGCAAUCUCUCUAUUCACCGAAUCAUUGACCCAAGAUACUUGAAACUAUCUUUUUCGAAUAGUUUGAGAAUCUAGCUUCAAUACCAUGUCAGUCUUAUCUUAUGCAUUGAAUUAUUGAAUUUACAUUCUAAAUAUCCCGUCUUAGUCCUGCUUAGACUAAACCCUUAUACCCUAGGAUCUUGUCGCCAAACCUUCAACUUAUCACUAACUCCUUCUCGGAUCUCGUCAAUUAGUACAAUAUCGUUAGCAAAUAAGAUACACCAAGGCAAGUCUACUUGAAUACACUGCGUCAAAACAAUUAUCACCAGCGCAAAUAAAAAUGAGCUAAGAUACGUUCCCUAAUGCAACCCUAUCAAAAUAGGAAAGUGCUUCGAAUCUACUACUAUCGUUUUUACACACGUCUUCGCUUCAUUGUAAAUGUCCUGAAUUAACCUAGUGUAUGUUACGGGCAUAUCUCUAGACUCCAAACAACUCUACAAAAUCUUUGUGGGGACUUUAUCAUAUGCCUCGAGAUCAAUGAAUACCAUGUGCGAGUGAAUUAGUCUGAUAAAUAUAGUAUCUAUAAAACCAACAAUAAUAAUAUACUUAAUUACGUUUUAUAUAAGUGGAGUUUGAAAAUCUAAAAUAUACCGAGAUUUUAUUAAUAUCUCAUUAACAUGGAAAAAUUAUUUUUGAAAUUUUUCGACUCAAAUAGAAUAUAUCAAAGCAGAUUUAAAAGAAUAAAAGAAAACAAGCAUAUGUUGUGAAUAAAUAAAAACGGAAAAAUUAAGAGGGAAAGGGAUCAUAUUUGCGGAGCAGCCUGACCCGGUUAAAUGACCCAUGUCACAAUAAACCCAGGGAGGAUGUACUAACUUUCUUUCUUCUUCAAAUUAGUAGAACAAUUAUUAUUCAGCUAAGUGAAGCUUCCAAUUUGGUUAAUCAAUGAAGAAGCUUCUAGAAUUCGGGAGAAAAGCAAUGUUCUAUAUUAGGGUUCUCUCAGGUUAUGAAGAACGUAGAAUUCGAUCUUAUCGAUUACAGCUUCAACAACGUCUCCAAGAGGUUCUUCUUCAUCCCCUUUUUAACCUUUUGUUGCGUUGUAAUAACCAAUUCUUUUAAUUGGAAAAGAAAUUUGUAGAGUUAUUCUUAUUGUAAGUCAACUGUAUUGAGUUAGAUUGCAAAAGGGCAAAAAUGAUUCAUUUUUUUCUUUUCAUUGACAACAAAAUAUUCGGUGUAGUUUCACAAGUGGGGUCUGGGGAGGGCAGAGUGUACGCAAACCUCUGACUAAUUACACAAGAUACCUGCCACCUCCCAAGAACAACGGGUGUCAGGUAACUCUAUCUAUCAAAGCUAGGACAGAUUUUUUUCUCUGCUGGUAUUUGAAUAUAAGACCUCGUGAUUGUUAGGCGUACCCGGGGAGGUAGAGAGGCAUUUUUUUUUUUUUUUUAAAUUGGGGAGAAGAAAUUAAUAUGAUUUCUAAUUAGCUUUGGGAUUAUAUGGCUUCUUAAUCUUGAGUUCCAUUUUUUCUACUUGGUGGCAUAUUAAAGCUUCAAUCUUGUCUGCACUAGCUUUAUUUGGCACUGGAACAAUCAAUUUUAAAUCAUUGAAUGUAGCCAUUGGAUCUUUUCUUUAUCCGUUGCCUGAGAUUUGUGGUUAUUCUGCUUGGAUGUUUUCCAAUAGAUGUUUAUUAUUUAGAGGUACGUGUUGCUAGUGGGAGGUGGCUGAUAUCGUGGAUUUAGUCGAGGUGCAUGAAAGUUGGCCUAGACACCAUGGUUAUAUUGGGAAAAAAAUAACUCUAGGAUAUAUUGGGUAGAGCCUGUCAUCUCUAGGUUAAAGACUUGAUUGAUGCAUAAUUAAUACACCAUCAUAAGCUUCCUUUUCUCUUGAGCAUCUUGGGAUCAUUUUGUUUUAUUAGUGCGCGUGGCGUAGGGGGUGGCCAGUGGCGGUGGGGGUGAUGGGGAUGCUCAGGAGAGGGUACAUAUGACUCUGCUUUUUGCAAGUCGAAUUAUAUUUCUGUCGGAAAUUUUCAUAAGGUAUGUAUUUUAUUAAGUCCAUACAUGUACAAAGAGAGUAAUGUGUGCAUUUGUAGUCUGCACCACUUUAUAAAAUCCUGAUAGGCCUUUGGUUGAAGGUCAUAUUUUCUAAUUUAAGCUUCUUUUGGAUGGCCCCUGAUGAUGUUGGUGUUAUGAUAUUAUUGCAAGGAAUGAGACUUGAGUCCCACACCGAUUAAAUGGGAACUGAUGUUGGGCUUAUAUAACCUUGGGCUCCCACCUUCGCAGCUAACUUUUGCGGUAUGGUUCUCCUAAGGUUGAAUCAAGGUAUCAGAGCCACCCAUCAGCCUCCGUGCCCACCGAACAUUGUGCCUAGGAUGGUGAUGAUGAUAUGCCAAUGUUUGGCCAGGGCUAGCAAUGUCUAACCCACAGCCGUUGAGGAGGACGAAUGCAGUGCGUGGUGAUUUGUUAUGAUAUUAUUGCAAGGAAUCAAACUUGAGUCCGACAUCAGUUAAAGGAGGAAAUGAUGUGGGGCUUAUAUGGCCCUGAGCUCUUCCACUUCACUAGCUAGCUUUUGGGAUGUGGUUCUCCUAAGGUUGUAUCAUCUAGGCUUGGUUCCAGUUCCACUUGGAAAGUAUAUAAGAAGCGCUAUAGGAGCCGGUGGCAAGCAACUAGACUAGUCCUUGAUGAUUUAUUGGAAAGAAAUUUGACAAAUUGGAGUCUUUGAAUAUUAUUUGGUAGAUUGGUUUUUAUGCCACGUGUUUUUGUUCUAGACCCUUUUUCUGAUUUAUUUCUCUGUGUAACCGUGUGUCUGAUCAGGCGGAACAAAGGAAGGAAGAAGUAAGGAAGAUGCCUGAGCAGGUGAUUUUAUCAGAAGUCAGGCGCAUGGUGGAAGAGAUGCAAGCUUUAAAUAAGAAGCUAGAAGAUACCGUAAGCUCACAAUUUUCUUGAUUCUUAUUUCUAUUGUUUCGUAAUUGUGAAGCAUGUUGCCAAUCGCCUUAAUCGUCCUGAUUAUAACACUUGAAAAAUGGUCAAACUGUCGAUGAUGUAUUUUUUGGAUUAAAAUGGGUGAAUAGCUUACCAUAUUGAGUGUGGUAAAUAAGUGUGAUGUAGGGGUAAUUGUUCAAUAUAUAAAGAAAAGGUGAACAAUGAAAGGUGAUUAGAUGUCAGUUCAAAUUUGAAAUGGUAUAAAGUAGCAUUGGCUUAUAUUAGUUUGAAUUGACCUGUCAGAAAAGUUUAUACUAGGUUGAUUUGCCAGUGGGAGAGAAGAAGAUGUCAAGUCUGUUUCAGACGGGCUGCAAAGUGAAGUAGGUUGCUUCAUUGAGAUGGAUCCCGUGCUUUUGCUUCAGUUUGCAGUAGAGAAGAACCAAGUUAUCUGCUGAUAUCAAUUUACUUCUCUCUUAGACUCGUGUUUAUUAUAAUUGCUUUGCCAUCACUUUUUAGUAUUUGGUCAUAUGGUUAAUUCCAAGAAAGAAUCCUUUAGACACAAUUUACACUCCCACCUACUUGUAACAAAGAAGUGUUUUUGUUCUCUUUAUUCCUGUUUCCGUGAAUCCUUCUCCUUUUCUGGACUCUUCGUCGUCCCAUUCUUUCAGUGGACUGGCAAUUUGUUAACUUCUCUAGUCAAAGUAGUUAUCUUCAUAGGCAAAGUUGAUUUCCCUCUAGUUUGGAGCAGACGUUACUUAUCUGCCUCGGAGUUUCCCAGUUCAACUGGCAGGCUCAGAAUGGGGUUGAAAACAUGUUUUCUAGGACUAAAUCACUCGGUACUUGAUACUCUGACGUUGAGUAUAGCUCUAAAACUGGGAGAGGCGGAGGAAAAAAGGGAGGGGCCUUGCAAAUGAGCCAAGUGGCUCAUGAGUGUCGUCAGUAUUGUUCCCAAUUCAUACCCGUCUUAUCUGUUAAGUUACAAUCACUUGUUGUCUCAUGGUGUUAGGAGGACCUUAAUUGUGCUUGAAUGCAAAGUAGGGUUGGCUUCAAUCUUCUGUGACUCGUGGCUUUUCUGUGACUUAUAGUAAAUGCUUCCUGUGUUAUUGUAAGAUUUUCUUUCUUGAUUGAUGAUUGUAAUGGUUGAAUAUUUUCAGGAGAUGGCUAUAAAUGAGUAUUUCAAGCCAUUAGACCAGCAAGCAGAGGAAGUAGUGAAAAUGCAACUUAAGGGAGAUGAGAAAAGAAAAGAUGAGCUGAUUGAGGCUAUGCAGAGGCAAGCAAUUCUCGAGAUGGCUCAAGCAGAGAAACAGAAAAACAUGCGAAUGCUAAACACAAACAAACAUGUCCAAGAGAAAGCAUCCACUGAGACACUUAAUCAGAAGAAAGAUAAUUUUGUAGAGAACUAAGUUUAUUAAAUUGGUACUGUGCGAGUUCAUAUGGUUUGCUUCACUGAACGACAUUAUUUUGGCAAUGCAAGAAAGAGGAAUCAGGUACUGUCCUAAGCAUCUGAUGAGUUUGUAACAAUAAAGAAUGACAAGUCUCCAGAUGCGGAUAUAAGAUUUUGAGUUUAUGAGUUCUGAAUUCUAGAAAAGACAGCUUAUGGGUUCUUGAUAAAUUAU